AUUGAACGCUGGCGGCAGGCCUAACACAUGCAAGUCGAGCGGAUGAAUGGAGCUUGCUCCUGGAUUCAGCGGCGGACGGGUGAGUAAUGCCUAGGAAUCUGCCUGGUAGUGGGGGAUAACGUCCGGAAACGGGCGCUAAUACCGCAUACGUCCUGAGGGAGAAAGUGGGGGAUCUUCGGACCUCACGCUAUCAGAUGAGCCUAGGUCGGAUUAGCUAGUUGGUGGGGUAAAGGCCUACCAAGGCGACGAUCCGUAACUGGUCUGAGAGGAUGAUCAGUCACACUGGAACUGAGACACGGUCCAGACUCCUACGGGAGGCAGCAGUGGGGAAUAUUGGACAAUGGGCGAAAGCCUGAUCCAGCAAUGCCGCGUGUGUGAAGAAGGUCUUCGGAUUGUAAAGCACUUUAAGUUGGGAGGAAGGGCAGUAAGUUAAUACCUUGCUGUUUUGACGUUACCAACAGAAUAAGCACCGGCUAACUUCGUG
This 484-nucleotide ribosomal RNA is filed under the name uncultured bacterium. RNAcentral's name for it is "partial 16S ribosomal RNA". It matches the Rfam family "Bacterial small subunit ribosomal RNA", at positions 30 to 507 of the family's 1533-position model. The record is from RNAcentral.